RNAcentral lists this ribosomal RNA (250 nucleotides) under uncultured bacterium. RNAcentral's name for it is "partial 16S ribosomal RNA". It matches the Rfam family "Bacterial small subunit ribosomal RNA", at positions 524 to 773 of the family's 1533-position model. The record is from RNAcentral.
UACAGAGAGUGCAAACGUUGUUCGGAAUUACUGAGCUUAAAACGCACGUAGACUGCAUCGUAAGUGUCAGAUGAAAUCCCACGGCUCACCCGUGGAACUGCCUGGCAUACUGCGAUGCUCGAGUGUGGUAGGGGAGAGCGGAACUCCUGGUGGAGCGGUGAAAUGCGUAGAUAUCAGGAGGAACACCGGUGGCGAAGGCGGCUCUCUGGUCCACAACUGACGCUGAGGUGCGAAAGCUAGGGGAGCAAAC